This is a non-coding RNA of Cinara cedri, 342 nucleotides long. The record is from the annotation of a GenBank genome assembly. Lineage: Eukaryota; Metazoa; Arthropoda; Insecta; Hemiptera; Aphididae.
UCAAAAAAUGACCUUUUUUAAAGAACCACAUCAGGCUUUGCUUUCAGAAAAAGUGCUAUAAUAUGUGAAUCGGAGCAAACUAGCUGACAGAAAAAUUAUUAAAAAAAAGCCGUUAUAUUUUUCAACGUUUAUACUUACUUACAUUUCGUACAUUUUCCCGUAUUUGCUCUGUUUUUUCAACGGGCUCAAAUUUGUUCAUAAGAAUUAAAUUCACUUGACAGUCGUUCAUUAUCGAGUUACCAUCAAAUCCAAGUUUUUGUACUCAGUAUCAGUUUUACUUUAAAAUGGCUAAUAACAAGUUAGUAAAAGUCCGUACGUACAAUCAAAUGUCAAAUAUUUUAA